This 112-nucleotide small nuclear RNA is filed under the name Salmo salar (Atlantic salmon). RNAcentral's name for it is "U5 spliceosomal RNA (ENSSSAG00000113963.1)". It matches the Rfam family "U5 spliceosomal RNA". Rfam says of the family: U5 RNA is a component of both types of known spliceosome. Lineage: Eukaryota; Metazoa; Chordata; Actinopteri; Salmoniformes; Salmonidae. The record is from RNAcentral.
CGACUCUGGUUUCUCUUCACGCACAAGCCUUUCGCCUUUUACUAAAGACUUCCUGGAGAGAACACUUACGAGUUCAACGUAUUUUUGGAAGGGCUUUGCUUUCUGGCAGAGC